GGAGGACUUAACCUUGCAAAGUAAUUAUUGCAGUUUAUAAAAACUGCAAUAAUUACACUUGCAGGGUUAAGGGUGAUGGGAGUUGGCACCCAGACCACACUAAUGGGCUGAAGUGGUCUGGGUACCUACAGUGUCCCUUUAAGUUGUUUUCUUGAGUUAAGAAGCGAGAAAAAAUAUUAACAACACAUGGUCUCUCUGGGCUUCUUUACAGUAUUUUGUCAAACUGAUAUAGUUUUUUGCAUUACAAAAUGAGUCAUUUUAGUUCGCAACCAGUUGGAUUUUUGUGCUGGUUUCAU
Molecule: non-coding RNA, 296 nt
Organism: Pelobates cultripes (western spadefoot toad)
Lineage: Eukaryota; Metazoa; Chordata; Amphibia; Anura; Pelobatidae
Source: the annotation of a GenBank genome assembly